Molecule: long non-coding RNA, 358 nt
Organism: Panthera uncia (snow leopard)
Lineage: Eukaryota; Metazoa; Chordata; Mammalia; Carnivora; Felidae
Exons: 2
Source: RefSeq, a predicted model, not a curated record
ACAACCAGGGCUUACGCUCUGGGGCAGGGCUACUCCAAGAGCAGUCCAUGGACAAGCUGGCCGUCUCUGAAAUGUCUGGUGCCAGUCCACCACAAGAUGGGGACACCGUGCCAGGAUGUAAAUCAACCACAUCAGGAUGCAACGCGAGAUCGUUCAGUCCAGGAAGAUGUGGACUCAGGUUCCACCAAGAAGGAGUUCUGCCUCCAGGUGGCGACGCAGAAAUUGUGCCUGAGUUUCCAGCCUUGGACUCAAGAUGCAACACCAGCUCUUGCCUGGGUUUCCAGCGCUGCAGACUUCAGGCCCUGGAGCCCUAAACCAUGCAAGCCAAUUCCUUAAAAUAAAUGCACCCUGCCCCCCA